Molecule: long non-coding RNA, 794 nt
Filed under: Felis catus (domestic cat)
Lineage: Eukaryota; Metazoa; Chordata; Mammalia; Carnivora; Felidae
Description: lncRNA (ENSFCAG00000048962.1)
Source: RNAcentral
UCUUUGUAGCAUUUCUCUGUGUUUUUGGAGCUCUUCCUAGAUUACUAAACCCAGGAAAAUUGGCUGUUUCUCAGAUGUAGGUCACAACAGUGCUGUGAAAUCAUCCCAAGAUUUGUGAUCUCACUAGCGUCACAAUGGGUUCAAAAGGGAAUACUGAGUCCACUCAGUGGUCUCCUAUAACAUACCUUAGUUUUAGAAAUAAUAAGAAGUAACAACAGCAAAAUGGUCUUAAAUCCUGAUUAAAACCCUAUAUAUAAUACAAAGAACAAAAAAAAAAACACCAAGUCUUCUACGUAUAAAAGUCCUUUUCACCUUUUAAUACUGUUUGUAAAAUUCUUGAUGACAAAUGGCUAUAUAUUUGAUGUUUUCAUUUUUUGAUGGCACAGCUAUCAGAACAAAAAUAAUUCUCUUAAACACAUAACAUUUUUGCAAAUACAUAGUUUGCCUUGGCAUCUACAAGCAAAAUAUUUAAACUGAGGCAAAAUACUACAGUCAUUUCAAUGGAGCAUACUAUACUGCAUGUUGCUGAAAUCUCCCCCUAAAUCUUGCUGAUAGAAGACUCGAAUGAUAUGAAUAUGAGAUCUCUUUUCAGCAUGAAAGAACACUUGCACGGAAACAGCUUGUGUCGUGUUGUUGAUUUUGUGCCAGAGGAGUUAAGAUUGAUCUCAGCACACUCUGUGCCUUUCUCUUAACCAGCGGCAAUGAUCUUUGAAAACCCCAGAACAUGUCUACUUUACUAACAAUGAAGAAGCUGUGAGAAUAAAGAUCCACUAGGAAUAGUUGGACCUGAAGUU